RNAcentral lists this long non-coding RNA (211 nucleotides) under Capsicum annuum. Its description in RNAcentral is "long non-coding RNA (CANN_LNC000899)". The record is from RNAcentral. Lineage: Eukaryota; Viridiplantae; Streptophyta; Magnoliopsida; Solanales; Solanaceae.
CUAAGAAUAGAGAAACGACCCCUUCAAAAGAUAGAGGUUCAAAGAACCGGAAUUAUUUUUUGAAAGGGCAUUCUACUAUUCCUAGUAGGAAUCUACUGGACCCUACCUACACUCAGCUUUAUUAAAGGCUAAACCCUACACUCAGCUUUAUUAAAGGCUAAAGGAAUCUGUCAGCUUUAUUAAAGGAGACAGCACAUCUGCUUUAUUAAAG